This 474-nucleotide ribosomal RNA is filed under the name Triticum aestivum (bread wheat). RNAcentral describes it as "partial small subunit ribosomal RNA". Lineage: Eukaryota; Viridiplantae; Streptophyta; Magnoliopsida; Poales; Poaceae. The record is from RNAcentral.
AUGGCGACCACCGACAGCAUCAGGGUCUCCGCCGCCCAGCAGACGAGCUUUGCCCUGCGCCUCGCCUCCGCCAUCUCCUCCCCCUCCAGCGUCGACGGCGCACGCGGCAAUGUUGCCUUCUCUCCGCUGUCCCUCCACGUCGUGCUCAGCCUCAUCGCCGCAGGCGCCGCCGGCGCCACCCGCGACCAGCUCGUCGCCACGCUCGGCGCAGGCGAGGCCGAGGGGCUCCACGCGUUCGCCAAGCAGGUGGUGCCGCUGGUGCUCGCCGACUCCUCGGGCGCCGGCGGCCCGCGCGUCUCGUUCGCCAAUGCCGUCUUCUCCGACGUCGCUGCCGCUCAGGCCGUCCUUUUUUUUCGAGAGUACGCCAAUGGCGUACCAUAUUUUUAUAGAAGGAAGCAAAGUAUUUACAAGAGACCGACGAACAAUGCGAACAUUAGUCGCCAGCACACCCACACCGAAAAAACCAAAAGCUAA